This 467-nucleotide ribosomal RNA is filed under the name uncultured bacterium. RNAcentral describes it as "partial 16S ribosomal RNA". The stretch from base 56 to 467 matches the Rfam family "Bacterial small subunit ribosomal RNA", at positions 37 to 506 of the family's 1533-position model. The record is from RNAcentral.
GGGGGGGGGGGGGGGGGGGCUGGGGGGGGGGGGGGGGGGGGGGGGGGCGCUGGUGUGGGGGGGUGCUCGAGUGGCGAGCGGGUGAGUAACGCGGGAGGAACCGUCCCUUGACUUGGGGAUAACUUCGGGAAGCGGGGGCUAAUACCGGCUGUGGGCUCCUGCUGCCUGUUGUGGGUUGGACAUUUUCGUCGGUUGGGGAUGGCCUCCGUGCUUAUCAGCUUGGUGGUGGGGGAGUGUCUUCCCAAGGCUUUGACGGGUAGCCGGCCUGAGAGGGUGACCGGCCACAUUGGGACUGAGAUACGGCCCAGACUCCUACGGGAGGCAGCAGCGGGGAAUAUGGCACAAUGGGCGGAAGCCUGAUGCAGCAACGCCGCGUGCGGGAUGACGGCCUUCGGGUUGUAAACCGCUUUCGCCUGUGACGAAGCGUGAGUGACGGUAAUGGGUAAAGAAGCACCGGCUAACUACGU